GUAGUCAUAUGCUUGUCUCAAAGAUUAAGCCAUGCAUGUCUAAGUAUAAGCAAUUAUACCGUGAAACUGCGAAUGGCUCAUUAAAUCAGUUAUCGUUUAUUUGAUAGUACCUUACUACUUGGAUAACCGUGGUGAUUCUAGAGCUAAUACAUGCUGAAAACUCCAACUUCGGGAGGGGUGUAUUUACUAGGUAAAAAACCAACGCCCUUCGGGGCUUCUUGGUGAUUCAUGAUAACUUUACGGAUCGCAUGGCCUUGCGCCGGCGACGGUUCAUCCAAAUUUCUGCCCUAUCAACUUUCGAUGGUAAGGUAUUGGCUUACCAUGGUUUCAACGGGUAACGGGGAAU
This 346-nucleotide ribosomal RNA is filed under the name uncultured fungus. RNAcentral's name for it is "SSU rRNA". It matches the Rfam family "Eukaryotic small subunit ribosomal RNA", at positions 20 to 370 of the family's 1831-position model. Lineage: Eukaryota; Fungi. The record is from RNAcentral.